UAUCUCUGUAGAGUCUGCAUAUCAAUAAGCGGAGGAAAAGAAACUAACUAGGAUUCCCUCAGUAACGGCGAGUGAAGCGGGAAGAGCUCAAAUUUGAAAUCUUCAAGGUUCUACCUUGACGAAUUGUAGUUUAAAGAAGUGUUUUCUGUUGGAGUUUUGGUAAAAGUUCUUUGGAAUAGGACACCAUAGAGGGUGAGAAUCCCGUAUUUGACCAUUAUUUCCAGCUUUGUGAUACACUUUCAAAGAGUCGGAUUGUUUGGGAAUGCAGUCCAAAAUGGGUGGUAAAUUUCAUCUAAAGCUAAAUAUUGGCGAGAGACCGAUAGCGAACAAGUACCGUGAGGGAAAGAUGAAAAGAACUUUGAAAAGAGAGUUAAACAGUACGUGAAAUUGUCAAAAGGGAAGCGUUUGACACCAGUGUUGUUUUCUCGAAAAUCAAUUAAAAAAGGCAGGAUUUUGUGUUGUAUUGACUUUAUCAGCUUUCUGCACUCUUUUCUUGUCUUUUUUAAUGCACUUUUCGUUUAACAAGUCAACAUCAAUUUCUUUUGUUGUAAAAGGGUCAUUGGAAGGUGGCUUUCUUUUCGGAGAAAGUGUUUAUAGCCUUUGGCCUCUGCAAUCGGAGAGAUUGAGGUCUGCAGCGUAGAUCCUUCGGGGUUAGAUACAUUUGUGCUAAGUUAUAACCGUUUCAUAGACAACUUGUUGACUAUGAUCAAUCCAUGUAGCUUACUCGCUUAUGCUAAUUUUACCUACGCUUAGGAUGUUGAAGAUGUAGCACAUCAU
This 777-nucleotide ribosomal RNA is filed under the name uncultured Neocallimastigales. RNAcentral describes it as "partial large subunit ribosomal RNA". It matches the Rfam family "Eukaryotic large subunit ribosomal RNA", at positions 24 to 635 of the family's 3401-position model. Lineage: Eukaryota; Fungi; Neocallimastigomycota; Neocallimastigomycetes; Neocallimastigales. The record is from RNAcentral.